Molecule: ribosomal RNA, 1530 nt
Filed under: Bacteroides fragilis
Lineage: Bacteria; Pseudomonadati; Bacteroidota; Bacteroidia; Bacteroidales; Bacteroidaceae
Description: bacterial SSU rRNA
Rfam family: Bacterial small subunit ribosomal RNA
Source: RNAcentral
ACAAUGAAGAGUUUGAUCCUGGCUCAGGAUGAACGCUAGCUACAGGCUUAACACAUGCAAGUCGAGGGGCAUCAGGAAGAAAGCUUGCUUUCUUUGCUGGCGACCGGCGCACGGGUGAGUAACACGUAUCCAACCUGCCCUUUACUCGGGGAUAGCCUUUCGAAAGAAAGAUUAAUACCCGAUGGCAUAAUGAUUCCGCAUGGUUUCAUUAUUAAAGGAUUCCGGUAAAGGAUGGGGAUGCGUUCCAUUAGGUUGUUGGUGGGGUAACGGCCCACCAAGCCUUCGAUGGAUAGGGGUUCUGAGAGGAAGGUCCCCCACAUUGGAACUGAGACACGGUCCAAACUCCUACGGGAGGCAGCAGUGAGGAAUAUUGGUCAAUGGGCGCUAGCCUGAACCAGCCAAGUAGCGUGAAGGAUGAAGGCUCUAUGGGUCGUAAACUUCUUUUUAUAUAAGAAUAAAGUGCAGUAUGUAUACUGUUUUGUAUGUAUUAUAUGAAUAAGGAUCGGCUAACUCCGUGCCAGCAGCCGCGGUAAUACGGAGGAUCCGAGCGUUAUCCGGAUUUAUUGGGUUUAAAGGGAGCGUAGGUGGACUGGUAAGUCAGUUGUGAAAGUUUGCGGCUCAACCGUAAAAUUGCAGUUGAUACUGUCAGUCUUGAGUACAGUAGAGGUGGGCGGAAUUCGUGGUGUAGCGGUGAAAUGCUUAGAUAUCACGAAGAACUCCGAUUGCGAAGGCAGCUCACUGGACUGCAACUGACACUGAUGCUCGAAAGUGUGGGUAUCAAACAGGAUUAGAUACCCUGGUAGUCCACACAGUAAACGAUGAAUACUCGCUGUUUGCGAUAUACAGUAAGCGGCCAAGCGAAAGCAUUAAGUAUUCCACCUGGGGAGUACGCCGGCAACGGUGAAACUCAAAGGAAUUGACGGGGGCCCGCACAAGCGGAGGAACAUGUGGUUUAAUUCGAUGAUACGCGAGGAACCUUACCCGGGCUUAAAUUGCAGUGGAAUGAUGUGGAAACAUGUCAGUGAGCAAUCACCGCUGUGAAGGUGCUGCAUGGUUGUCGUCAGCUCGUGCCGUGAGGUGUCGGCUUAAGUGCCAUAACGAGCGCAACCCUUAUCUUUAGUUACUAACAGGUUAUGCUGAGGACUCUAGAGAGACUGCCGUCGUAAGAUGUGAGGAAGGUGGGGAUGACGUCAAAUCAGCACGGCCCUUACGUCCGGGGCUACACACGUGUUACAAUGGGGGGUACAGAAGGCAGCUAGCGGGUGACCGUAUGCUAAUCCCAAAAGCCUCUCUCAGUUCGGAUCGAAGUCUGCAACCCGACUUCGUGAAGCUGGAUUCGCUAGUAAUCGCGCAUCAGCCACGGCGCGGUGAAUACGUUCCCGGGCCUUGUACACACCGCCCGUCAAGCCAUGGGAGCCGGGGGUACCUGAAGUACGUAACCGCAAGGAUCGUCCUAGGGUAAAACUGGUGACUGGGGCUAAGUCGUAACAAGGUAGCCGUACCGGAAGGUGCGGCUGGAACACCUCCUUU